Molecule: ribosomal RNA, 695 nt
Filed under: uncultured bacterium
Lineage: Bacteria
Description: bacterial SSU rRNA
Rfam family: Bacterial small subunit ribosomal RNA
Source: RNAcentral
GAAAGCGUGGGGAGCGANCAGGAUUAGGUACCCUGGUAGUNCACGCCGUAAACGAUGAGUGCUAGGUGUUAGGCCCUUUCCGGGGCUUAGUGCCGCAGCUAACGCAUUAAGCACUCCGCCUGGGGAGUACGACCGCAAGGUUGAAACUCAAAGGAAUUGACGGGGGCCCGCACAAGCGGUGGAGCAUGUGGUUUAAUUCGAAGCAACGCGAAGAACCUUACCAGGUCUUGACAUCCCGAUGCCCGCUCUAGAGAUAGAGUUUUACUUCGGUACAUCGGUGACAGGUGGUGCAUGGUUGUCGUCAGCUCGUGUCGUGAGAUGUUGGGUUAAGUCCCGCAACGAGCGCAACCCUUAUUGUUAGUUGCCAUCAUUCAGUUGGGCACUCUAGCGAGACUGCCGGUAAUAAACCGGAGGAAGGUGGGGAUGACGUCAAAUCAUCAUGCCCCUUAUGGCCUGGGCUACACACGUGCUACAAUGGCUGGUACAACGAGUCGCAAGUCGGUGACGGCAAGCUAAUCUCUUAAAGCCAGUCUCAGUUCGGAUUGUAGGCUGCAACUCGCCUACAUGAAGUCGGAAUCGCUAGUAAUCGCGGAUCAGCACGCCGCGGUGAAUACGUUCCCGGGCCUUGUACACACCGCCCGUCACACCACGAGAGUUUGUAACACCCGAAGUCGGUGAGGUANCCUUUUAGGAGC